GAUUAAUUGGAGUGGCAGGAACCAGGAAGGAGCAGGGACAACCGCUGGUGAGGAGGUGGAGCAAGUGAAGAGUUACCUCUCACGUUGUGCCCUGACGACCAAAUAUAUGUCCAAAGCAGCACGGGUGGACAUGCUUACAUUGCAUGCAAUAGGGUGGAAUGAGAAAAAAAAGUCUCUCUUUACAUCAGGCACUUUCCACAAGAUAUGUGAAGACUUUUCAGAGACUCCAUGAUGAGACUGCACGGCUAGCUGACCUAAAAACAGAGCUAGAUUGCACAGAUGAAGUGGUGUCACAGUGGCUAUCUGAUGUAAAGGAAUGGGCAGCUGGUGAGACACCUGAUGCAUCUCGUGCCAGUCAAGGCACAACACACAGAGGAAUGCAGCAAUCAAUUGAGGGGCUCUACCUUAGUGUGAGGCACCG
This is a long non-coding RNA of Xyrauchen texanus (razorback sucker), 421 nucleotides long. RefSeq lists it as uncharacterized. NCBI's taxonomy places the organism in Eukaryota, Metazoa, Chordata, Actinopteri, Cypriniformes, Catostomidae. The record is from RefSeq and is a predicted model, not a curated record. The transcript has 4 exons.